Long non-coding RNA from Neofelis nebulosa (Clouded leopard), 1204 nucleotides. RefSeq lists it as uncharacterized. Lineage: Eukaryota; Metazoa; Chordata; Mammalia; Carnivora; Felidae. The transcript is spliced from 2 exons. The record is from RefSeq and is a predicted model, not a curated record.
GGGUGGGGGGGGGUUCUUCUGAGCUUUUCCUGGCAGACCCUGGUUGGUGCCUGGGCCUGGGACUAAGAAGCCAGCUGGCCGCAGGUCUCCUGGCUCCCCCAAUUUUCACAGGCUUGGGGCUUGAAGUUCAUUCUUCUCGAAUGUACUCGAGAGUGGCCACGUUCAUGAGUGUAUUUCCCAAGAAAGGGCAGACAAAUGGUGGAUCCAAGGGCAGCGACAUGCUUCAGGGGGGGAGAUGGGAGGACUGGAGGGAAAGUACCUUCGCGGCCUCUUCAGAUGUAGGUGCAGGUGUGCAUGCCUCUGCCUGUGCAUCCUGGAGUCCCGGCCUCAGCCCCAGCCCUAUGCCUGGGACCCAGCGUUUGCUACUCCCUUGUUCCUUGAGCUGGAGUGAGCCUAGCAUCAUGCUUAACACGCCUCCUUUGGGACACAAGUCUCCAGUCCUUUGGCAUCCGGAGGUACCCAGGAAGGGAGUCCUGAACCUGUGACUCCAAACUCUGCCCACUCACUCCUUUUAUCGUCUUUUCUUACUCCCCAUCCCGAGUUUCAUUUUCAGCCUGUUUACUUCUCUGGCCGGCCCACGGUGCUGCUGAGAGCCGGCUGGAGACAUGUGCUAGCAGAUACAUGAACCGCCCGGGGACCCGUAACCCGCUGCUCUGCCUGGAAGGGACCUGAUGUUGGGCUGUGUCGGACUUGGGGGACCUAAGAUGCCAGGUGGGAGGGAUCAUUGCCACGGAUCGCGCCAGUGUAAUUCCCCUGGGAUGUGCUGUCGUUAUUGCAGGCCCAGUAUUUCUCCCAGUGGUCCGGGUAGCUUUCUGUAAAUCUUGCUUUAUUGCUAAUCCAUAAAAUCGAAAUCUGCCUUCCAUCUCUUAAACAUGUCACUGUAAAUAAAACUACCAGGAAAUACUGAAAUUGUGCUGGUGGUAAUGGACAGCUAAAGUUUUAGGGGCCAUGAGUGAAAACAGAUAAACAUGAAUGCAUGCACGGGAGGAUGGAACGGAACCACGGGGGGCAGUGUGAGCUGGCAGGAGGAAGGCUCCAGGGACGGUGUUAUUUGAGAUCCACAUGGUGUGUAAUUCUAGGAGGAAAAUGGAAAACUGUAAUUGGCAGGUUAGAAAACCCACUUAUAUGAAGAAGUGAGUUUAAUGAACUUCUUAGUGUCAUCAAGACUACCUUUAGGUGCUCAAUUGUCUAGGAAAUUCAUAGU